CAAUGGGCGAAAGCCUGAUGCAGCAACGCCGCGUGCGGGAAGAAGGCCCUAGGGUUGUAAACCGCUUUCAGUAGGGAAGAAACUGACGGUACCUGCAGAAGAAGGUGCGGCCAACUACGUGCCAGCAGCCGCGGUGGCACGUAGGCACCAAGCGUUGUCCGGAUUUAUUGGGCGUAAAGAGCUCGUAGGCGGUUCGGUAAGUCGGGUGUGAAAACUCUGGGCUCAACCCAGAGCCGCCACCCGAUACUGCUGUGACUCGAGUGCGGUAGGGGAGCGGGGAAUUCCUGGUGUAGCGGUGAAAUGCGCAGAUAUCAGGAGGAACACCAGUGGCGAAGGCGCCGCUCUGGGCCGUUACUGACGCUGAGGAGCGAAAGCGUGGGGAGCAAACAGGAUUAGAUACCCUGGUAGUCCACGCCGUAAACGUUGGGCACUAGGUGUGGGUCUCAACCAACGAGAUCCGCGCCGUCGCUAACGCAUUAAGUGCCCCGCCUGGGGAGUACGGCCCCAAGGCUA
RNAcentral lists this ribosomal RNA (513 nucleotides) under uncultured Actinomycetes bacterium. RNAcentral describes it as "bacterial SSU rRNA". It matches the Rfam family "Bacterial small subunit ribosomal RNA", at positions 369 to 896 of the family's 1533-position model. Lineage: Bacteria; Bacillati; Actinomycetota; Actinomycetes. The record is from RNAcentral.